Long non-coding RNA from Mercurialis annua (annual mercury), 510 nucleotides. RefSeq lists it as uncharacterized. The transcript is spliced from 2 exons. NCBI's taxonomy places the organism in Eukaryota, Viridiplantae, Streptophyta, Magnoliopsida, Malpighiales, Euphorbiaceae. The record is from RefSeq and is a predicted model, not a curated record.
UCACCCGACAUGUGAGGUAGCUUGGUAGUUAUCGGUAACUCGGCUAACCCACUAUUUGGAAAUUGAUCUAUUUUAUUAUUUAAAUAAUAUUUUCUGAAACGGAUCUUAAAACGGGAACUCAAUAGACUUGUAAUAAUUGUGCACUGUUACCUUUUGGGUAUUUUUGUGUUGUUCUGGAUUAUUUAAUUCUGACGUGUUAUUUGUGCUAGUCUUAUGUGGUGUCUAGUACUCUCUAGAGUUAGGGUCUGUUUUUAAUAAUUAUUUUAUUUGUCUAGACCCGACUACUGUUCGUGCUUCAGAGGCGAAUCAGGAUUAGUGGCUUGUCGGUUAUCACGUGGAUUAGCAAGCAGGUUAUGAUCUGAGAGAGUCUGGUGAUCUCCGCAUUUACUUUUCCUCGGAGGUUCCUUUUAUUUUAAUAAACUGUAAAACUGUUUUAUUCUUAGACCGCAGUAGUUGACUAGACGUCUUUAUUAUUAUAACAGUUGUUUGUCGGAUUGGUCUGACUAGUUA